Mobula hypostoma (lesser devil ray) is the source of this 1011-nucleotide long non-coding RNA. RefSeq lists it as uncharacterized. Lineage: Eukaryota; Metazoa; Chordata; Chondrichthyes; Myliobatiformes; Myliobatidae. The record is from RefSeq and is a predicted model, not a curated record. The transcript is spliced from 3 exons.
GGGAAGUCCAGAGCUUCAGAUCAGAGUGCUGUGGCCUACCACAACAUGUUUGAAAACAUGAAGCACAGAACUGUCGCCACAGGAGACAAGCACCACCAACUAUGUCACAACUGGCUUGGCCCGCAAUGAAUGUUACAUAGAACUGGAAACAAUUUCCCAAUUAUAAGCACAAGAGAUUCUCAGAUGCUGGAAAUCCAGAGUUACACAUGCAAAAUGCUGGACGAACCCAGCAGAUUGGGCAGCGUCGAUGGAGAGGAAUAAACAGUCAACAUUUCAGGCCGAGGCCCUUCCUCAAGACUGAAAGGUGCUGCCUGACUUGCUGAGUUCCUCCAGAAUUUUGUGUGUAUUCCCCAAGAUUUUCAACAUCUGCAGAAUCUCUUAGAUUGGACAAACUCGGAAUAUUUUCUCUGGAGUUUCAGAUACUGAGGCUUGAGCACGAAAUGUCCACUCUUUCUUCCUUUCCAUAGAUGCUGCCUGGCAGAAUAACUCUACAUGUUUGGCAAAAUGAGUGCAAGUGGCAAUUGAUCUUUUAUAAGAUUUCAUGAUUCGUUUCAACUUUUAUCUCACUUUUCUUGACCGUUGCUGCAUUGGAAUAAAGUUUAAAUUGAUUGAAUAUAUUUCUCAUAGAUCCAAUAAAUUCAGAACUUGUAUUUUAUUUCCAAUUGUUUUCAAUGUUUAGUUUUGAAGUUGGGUUGUCUAAAGUUAUUGGCAAGUCGAUUUGUCAUUAAAGUAAUACGUUUCGAAUGAUAAAACAUUCACACGUUCAAUGGUUCCUUUUAAUAUCAGAAAAUGUGUACAGUGUACAACCUGAAAUUCUUACUCUCUGCAGAAAUCUACAAAACAGAAGAAAAACUCCAAAGAAUGAAUGACAGAAAAAAACGUUAGAACCCCCAAGCUCCCCUCACACGCACAAGCAACAACGCAUCCAACCUCCCCUCGCCUCCCCUCCCCUCAAAUGCCUCAGUGAGAGGGGAGGCCAACAGCUGGCUGUUUCGAUGUUACAGUCUGCCA